CCGGAAUAGCUCAGUUGGUAGAGC
This 24-nucleotide transfer RNA is filed under the name Glyphomitrium humillimum. Its description in RNAcentral is "partial tRNA-Phe". RNAcentral also lists the same sequence under 1 other name. Lineage: Eukaryota; Viridiplantae; Streptophyta; Bryopsida; Dicranales; Rhabdoweisiaceae. The record is from RNAcentral.